Non-coding RNA from Manis javanica (Malayan pangolin), 260 nucleotides. NCBI's taxonomy places the organism in Eukaryota, Metazoa, Chordata, Mammalia, Pholidota, Manidae. The record is from RefSeq and is a predicted model, not a curated record.
GAGGCUUCCCGCGCCGCCGGGGCCGGGCUGGGCUGGGCGCCGCCGCGGCAGCUGCGGGGCCGGGAGGCGGCCGGGAGGGAGGCAGGGCCCAGCACGCAAGGUGGCGGCAAGUCGCGUUCGGCCCCAGGAAGCUUCAGACAAGAAUUUAAAAUCGUUGCUUAGACAUUGUGUUAAGUGCCUGCAUCUCAAAUCAGAACAGCCCUAUAAGAUCUUUCCUGGGGCUGUGGGGUCACCUUCUCUUCCUCCCUCCUGCCACCCCA